AACGCUAGCUACAGGCUUAACACAUGCAAGUCGAGGGGAAACGACAUCGAAAGCUUGCUUUUGGUGGGCGUCGACCGGCGCACGGGUGAGUAACGCGUAUCCAACCUGCCCACCACUUGGGGAUAACCUUGCGAAAGUAAGACUAAUACCCAAUGAUAUCCCACGAAGGCAUCCGAAUGGGAUUAAAGAUUUAUCGGUGAUGGAUGGGGAUGCGUCUGAUUAGCUUGUUGGCGGGGUAACGGCCCACCAAGGCUACGAUCAGUAGGGGUUCUGAGAGGAAGGUCCCCCACAUUGGAACUGAGACACGGUCCAAACUCCUACGGGAGGCAGCAGUGAGGAAUAUUGGUCAAUGGGCGAGAGCCUGAACCAGCCAAGUAGCGUGCAGGAUGACGGCCCUAUGGGUUGUAAACUGCUUUUAUGCGGGGAUAAAGUGGGGGAUGCAUCCCUUUUUGCAGGUACCGCAUGAAUAAGGACCGGCUAAUUCCGUGCCAGCAGCCGCGGUAAUACGGAAGGUCCAGGCGUUAUCCGGAUUUAUUGGGUUUAAAGGGAGCGUAGGCCGCCCCUUAAGCGUGUUGUGAAAUGCCGCGGCUCAACCGUGGCACUGCAGCGCGAACUGGGGGGCUUGAGUGCACGCAACGCAGGCGGAAUUCGUGGUGUAGCGGUGAAAUGCUUAGAUAUCACGAAGAACUCCGAUUG
This 696-nucleotide ribosomal RNA is filed under the name uncultured bacterium. RNAcentral describes it as "bacterial SSU rRNA". It matches the Rfam family "Bacterial small subunit ribosomal RNA", at positions 32 to 715 of the family's 1533-position model. The record is from RNAcentral.